GACUCUCGGCAACGGAUAUCUCGGCUCACGCAUCGAUGAAGAACGUAGCAAAAUGCGAUACUUGGUGUGAAUUGCAGAAUCCCGUGAACCAUCGAGUUUUUGAACGCAAGUUGCGCCCGAUGCCAUUUGGUUGAGGGCACGUCUGCCUGGGCGUCACAC
Molecule: ribosomal RNA, 159 nt
Filed under: Craspedia haplorrhiza
Lineage: Eukaryota; Viridiplantae; Streptophyta; Magnoliopsida; Asterales; Asteraceae
Description: 5.8S ribosomal RNA
Rfam family: 5.8S ribosomal RNA
About the family: 5.8S ribosomal RNA (5.8S rRNA) is a component of the large subunit of the eukaryotic ribosome. It is transcribed by RNA polymerase I as part of the 45S precursor that also contains 18S and 28S rRNA.
Source: RNAcentral